This is a non-coding RNA of Verticillium longisporum, 116 nucleotides long. Lineage: Eukaryota; Fungi; Ascomycota; Sordariomycetes; Glomerellales; Plectosphaerellaceae. The record is from Rfam.
CCGGAGUGGGACCACUUAUCGAAUUCACCUCUUGCCUUUUACCAGAUGUGACCGUUAGUUGGCCCAAAAGACUCCAUUCCCUCAAUCUUUGGAUACCACCGAACCCGAGUUCGAUU